CAGCAGCCGCGGGAAUACAGAGGGUGCGAGCGUUAAUCGGAUUUACUGGGCGUAAAGCGUGCGUAGGCGGCUUCUUAAGUCGGAUGUGAAAUCACUGAGCUUAACUUAGGAAUUGCAUUCGAUACUGGGAAGCUAGAGUAUGGGAGAGGAUGGUAGAAUUCCAGGUGUAGCGGUGAAAUGCGUAGAGAUCUGGAGGAAUACCGAUGGCGAAGGCAGCCAUCUGGCCUAAUACUGACGCUGAGGUACGAAAGCAUGGGGAGCAAACAGGAUUAGAUACCCGAGUAGUCCCUGUCUCUUAUAC
This 301-nucleotide ribosomal RNA is filed under the name uncultured bacterium. Its description in RNAcentral is "partial 16S ribosomal RNA". It matches the Rfam family "Bacterial small subunit ribosomal RNA", at positions 509 to 807 of the family's 1533-position model. The record is from RNAcentral.